AGCAGUGGGNNAUAUUGCACAAUGGGCGGAAGCCUGAUGCAGCAACGCCGCGUGAGGGAUGACGGCCUUCGGGUUGUAAACCUCNUUUAGCAGGGAAGAAGCGAGAGUGACGGUACCUGCAGAAAAAGCGCCGGCUAACUACGUGCCAGCAGCCGCGGUAAUACGUAGGGCGCAAGCGUUAUCCGGAAUUAUUGGGCGUAAAGAGCUCGUAGGCGGUUUGUCGCGUCUGCUGUGAAAUCCCGAGGCUCAACCUCGGGCCUGCAGUGGGUACGGGCAGACUAGAGUGCGGUAGGGGAGAUUGGAAUUCCUGGUGUAGCGGUGGAAUGCGCAGAUAUCAGGAGGAACACCGAUGGCGAAGGCAGAUCUCUGGGCCGUAACUGACGCUGAGGAGCGAAAGGGUGGGGAGCAAACAGGCUUAGAUACCCUGGUAGUCCACCCCGUAAACGUUGGGAACUAGUUGUGGGGACCAUUCCACGGUUUCCGUGACGCAGCUAACGCAUUAAGUUCCCCGCCUGGGGAGUACGGCCGCAAGGCUAAAACUCAAAGGAAUUGACGGGGACCCGCACAAGCGGCGGAGCAUGCGGAUUAAUUCGAUGCAACGCGAAGAACCUUACCAAGGCUUGACAUAUACGAGAACGGGCCAGAAAUGGUCAACUCUUUGGACACUCGUAAACAGGUGGUGCAUGGUUGUCGUCAGCUCGUGUCGUGAGAUGUUGGGUUAAGUCCCGCAACGAGCGCAACCCUCGUUCUAUGUUACCAGCACGUAAUGGUGGGAACUCAUGGGAUACUGCCGGGGUCAACUCGGAGGA
This 809-nucleotide ribosomal RNA is filed under the name uncultured bacterium. Its description in RNAcentral is "bacterial SSU rRNA". It matches the Rfam family "Bacterial small subunit ribosomal RNA", at positions 350 to 1170 of the family's 1533-position model. The record is from RNAcentral.